AUUGAACGCUGGCGGCAGGCUUAACACAUGCAAGUCGAGCGGAGAUGAGGUGCUUGCACCUUAUCUUAGCGGCGGACGGGUGAGUAAUGCUUAGGAAUCUGCCUAUUAGUGGGGGACAACAUUCCGAAAGGAGUGCUAAUACCGCAUACGUCCUACGGGAGAAAGCAGGGGAUCUUCGGACCUUGCGCUAAUAGAUGAGCCUAAGUCGGAUUAGCUAGUUGGGGGGGUAAAGGCCUACCAAGGCGACGAUCUGUAGCGGGUCUGAGAGGAUGAUCCGCCACACUGGGACUGAGACACGGCCCAGACUCCUACGGGAGGCAGCAGUGGGGAAUAUUGGACAAUGGGGGGAACCCUGAUCCAGCCAUGCCGCGUGUGUGAAGAAGGCCUUAUGGUUGUAAAGCACUUUAAGCGAGGAGGAGGCUACUGAGACUAAUACUCUUGGAUAGUGGACGUUACUCGCAGAAUAAGCACCGGCUAACUCUGUGCCAGCAGCCGCCGUAA
RNAcentral lists this ribosomal RNA (501 nucleotides) under uncultured bacterium. RNAcentral describes it as "partial 16S ribosomal RNA". It matches the Rfam family "Bacterial small subunit ribosomal RNA", at positions 30 to 523 of the family's 1533-position model. The record is from RNAcentral.